This 486-nucleotide ribosomal RNA is filed under the name uncultured bacterium. Its description in RNAcentral is "partial 16S ribosomal RNA". It matches the Rfam family "Bacterial small subunit ribosomal RNA", at positions 29 to 507 of the family's 1533-position model. The record is from RNAcentral.
AACGAACGCUGGCGGCGCGUCUUAACCAUGCAAGUCGAGCGGCAGGCCGCAAUGCCGAGCGCGGCGGACUGGUGAGUAACACGUGGAUAACGUACCCCGAUGUCCGGGACAGCCUGUAGAAAUAGAGGGUAAUACCGGAUAGAUCACUGUUUACGUGAGGUAGACAGCGGGAAAGGAGCUUCGGCUCCGCGACGGGAUCGGUCUGCGGCCCAUCAGCUGGACGGCGGGGUAAAGGCCCGCCGUGGCGAGGACGGGUAUCCGGCCUGAGAGGGCGGACGGACACAUUGGGACUGAGAUACGGCCCAGACUCCUACGGGAGGCAGCAGGUAAGAAUAUUCCGCAAAGGGGGGAACCCUGACGGAGCGACGCCGCGUGAACGAAGAAGGCCGGAAGGUUGUAAAGUUCUUUUCUGUCCGAGGAAUAAGUUUCGGAGGAAAUGCCGGGACGGUGACGGUAGGGCAGGAAUAAGCACCGGCUAAUUACGUG